Molecule: ribosomal RNA, 462 nt
Filed under: uncultured bacterium
Lineage: Bacteria
Also listed under: 1 other name
Description: partial 16S ribosomal RNA
Rfam family: Bacterial small subunit ribosomal RNA
Source: RNAcentral
GACGAACGCUGGCGGCGUGCUUAACACAUGCAAGUCGAGCGGUAAGGCCUUUCGGGGUACACGAGCGGCGAACGGGUGAGUAACACGUGGGUGAUCUGCCCUGCACUUCGGGAUAAGCCUGGGAAACUGGGUCUAAUACCGGAUAUGACCUCCUAUCGCAUGGUGGGUGGUGGAAAGAUUUAUCGGUGCAGGAUGGGCCCGCGGCCUAUCAGCUUGUUGGUGGGGUAAUGGCCUACCAAGGCGACGACGGGUAGCCGACCUGAGAGGGUGACCGGCCACACUGGGACUGAGACACGGCCCAGACUCCUACGGGAGGCAGCAGUGGGGAAUAUUGCACAAUGGGCGAAAGCCUGAUGCAGCGACGCCGCGUGAGGGAUGACGGCCUUCGGGUUGUAAACCUCUUUCAGCAGGGACGAAGCGCAAGUGACGGUACCUGCAGAAGAAGCACCGGCUAACUACGUG